GACGAACGCUGGCGGCGCGCUUAACACAUGCAAGUCGAACGGAAAGGCCUGCCUUCCAUUGUGGAUUGCGGGUAAUCGGGUGGCGAACGGGUGAGUAACACGUGAGUGAUCUGCCCCCAAGUUGGGGAAAAGCCGGGGAAAAUGGGUCUAAUUCACGCUAGGGGUGCAGGGGGGGGACGGUGGGGGAAAACGAUGGUCGAGUGGGUGGGGUUGAGCCUGGGGCCUGUCAGCUUGUUGGUGGGGUAAGGGCCUACUAAGGCGGCGACGGGUAGCCGGCCGGGGAGCGUCGCCGGCCACUGUAGGACUGCGUUACGGCCCAGACUCCUCCGGGAGGCCUCCGUGGGGCAUCAGGCACAAUGGGCGGAAGCCUGAUGCAGCGAUGCCGCGUGGAGGAUGCCUGCCUUCGGAUGGUCAACUCCUUUCGACCGCCAUGCAGCCACCUGGUUGGAAUGGUGGUGACGGUAGUGGUAGAAGAAGCACCGGCUAACUACGUG
RNAcentral lists this ribosomal RNA (494 nucleotides) under uncultured bacterium. RNAcentral's name for it is "partial 16S ribosomal RNA". It matches the Rfam family "Bacterial small subunit ribosomal RNA", at positions 28 to 507 of the family's 1533-position model. The record is from RNAcentral.